UACGUAGGGUGCGAGCGUGUCCGGAUUUAUUGGGCGUAAAGAGCUCGUAGGCGGCUUGUCGCGUCGGAUGUGAAAGCCCGGGGCUAACUCCGGGUCUGCAUUCGAUACGGGCAGGCUAGAGUGUGGUAGGGGAGAUCGGAAUUCCUGGUGUAGCGGUGAAAUGCGCAGAUAUCAGGAAGAACACCCGUGGCGAAGGCGGCUUUCUGGGACGGUACUGACGCUGAGACGCGAAAGCGUGGGGAGCGAACAGG
Molecule: ribosomal RNA, 251 nt
Filed under: uncultured bacterium
Lineage: Bacteria
Description: partial 16S ribosomal RNA
Rfam family: Bacterial small subunit ribosomal RNA
Source: RNAcentral